Long non-coding RNA from Lacerta agilis (Sand lizard), 1872 nucleotides. RefSeq lists it as uncharacterized. The record is from RefSeq and is a predicted model, not a curated record. NCBI's taxonomy places the organism in Eukaryota, Metazoa, Chordata, Lepidosauria, Squamata, Lacertidae. The transcript is spliced from 2 exons.
CGGGCAGCCAAUGGCAGCCGCACGGCGCGGAUCCCCCACACGCUCCAUUCAAGAAUCUCAAGUAUUCAAGAUGGACGGAAGGGAAUGCGGAGAGGAGAAGCGGGAGCUGCUGCUUUGAGCGCCUUCCACUUCCAUGCCCGGGGGAAAGGGGGAGGAAACUCCCCGCAAGUUUCCACCUCUGCCACUGGCGGAGGCGAGAGACGAAGAGAAGCCCGAGAGCUGCUGAAAGGGUGGACCUUCUGAAACCGCUUAUAGAAACACCAAACUGGAUGUUCCUGCUGAAUGAAGACCAGAAAGGACGGUUGAAAUUAUUUGGGCACUACAGCAGCCCAGAGGACACCCCAAAGAAAGCAAACUGAUAAAGAGUUAAAAUGAAUCCCCAUUGUCUUGGGCGAGGUGAGAAGGUGGUUCUCUUGUUCCCACAUAGGAAUUCGGAGAGAGGGAAAGAGUGCGUGAAGAGCCUCCAGAGGCACUGGGCAUGGCCCCUGUCCAAGGCUCUUUUCACAUUGUGCUACUGUCUGAGCCCAACGCAAGCAGUGCAAUGUAAAAAGGGCAUUGGGUGGGUGGCCACAGCAGCAUGAAGCCUCUAUACGUCCAUUAUUGGCAAUAUUCAGGGGAUAGGCAUGGAGCCUUGCUAUGUGAGGCAAACGGAAGGUGUAACUGAGAAAACGAAUACUGCCCAGCAGCAGCACAACAUAGCUCCUGUGACAGCUGAAGUGCUCCCAUCCACCCCAAAUAUAUAUGGGGCUGUUCAGCAUCAACUGCUGGGUUAGGAUAGUUCACAGGCCAACAUGGUUUGGCACCUGAGUGGAAACUGAAGGGUUGUUGCUUUCUUGCAAAUCACCUUUGACUGUUCCGAGGAGUUACAGCAACCUAUUGCCUAAUAAAUGUUACCGCUUCUUUAACUGGGUGUCUCCUGUGUUCUCAAAGUUGCCGAAUUGCUGGUAAAUGUUAAAAUUUAUGGGAAAGAAAGCUCUGACUCAUUCUAGAUGUGGAAAGGAAGACAUGGGCAGCGACUUCCUGGAAUAUGGUAAUUUGGCACACACAGUUCUGAUAAGUUUUCAAAUGGGGAGAAACUUUGUAGCUUGUAUUUUAUUGUAUAUGUGGGUUUCCAGAUGCUCAUCCCAAUGGUGCUGAUGUUUGGUUACUUUAAAAGAAAAAGAAGUAUUAGUGGGAUUUCCAAGUUCAAGCCAUCAGCCGUUCUUGUUUCAGAGAAGUCCUCUUGGGACGUUUGGCCAGCAAGCUUAAUCCUUGUGAAUGUAACUGCUAGAUUUGGGCAGCAGCCGCGCAAGGAAGCAGGAAAAGAGAAGCCAUUAGUAGCAUGGCUCUUUUUGAUUUUGUUUGGGUUUUUUAAAUAUAAAACACCUUUAUUAUACAAAAAGAAAUAUAUCCUGCGCUGGUGACAGUGCUGAGGCUUUACCCCCACCUGCCCCCCAUCCUGUCUUCAUGUGGGGUGGGGGGAUGUGGGGGAGCCAUGGUGCCCAAGGUUCACAAGCACACGGCGACCCAAAACAAAAGAAAUAGACUCCAUAGAGUAGACAUGGGGGGUAAACACCACGGCAGUGUCAGGGAACGGGAGGGGUGAAAGGGGUUGUGAACUACCAUGGCUCCAUGUGGAGAGGGGCUGCUCCCCCCCCCCUACCUCUAGGAUCCCUUUGUUUCCUCUUUGAGAGGGAUUUCCUCUCCCCAACACUGGUAGGCUGUCAAACACAAAUUUUAUUUCUCCCAAGAAAGGAGAAGAGCAUAAAAAGCUGCCUUUUCCUGACUCAGACCCUCUUGGCCCUUCUAGCUCAACCUGGUCAAUAUUGAUCGGCAGCAGUUAUCCAGGGCCGUUGGGCAGAGAGCCUGUUCUAGCCGUUCCGUGAGGUUCUU